RNAcentral lists this microRNA precursor (84 nucleotides) under Bombyx mori (domestic silkworm). RNAcentral's name for it is "mir-2807 microRNA precursor family". It matches the Rfam family "mir-2807 microRNA precursor family". Lineage: Eukaryota; Metazoa; Arthropoda; Insecta; Lepidoptera; Bombycidae. The record is from Rfam by way of RNAcentral.
UUAAAUCAAUUUUGUAUGGAUUUGAAACGUUUGCCUACGUUUGCCGCUAGGGGCGCUGUUGCAACUGCAUACAAAUUUGAAUUA